RNAcentral lists this ribosomal RNA (253 nucleotides) under uncultured bacterium. RNAcentral describes it as "partial 16S ribosomal RNA". It matches the Rfam family "Bacterial small subunit ribosomal RNA", at positions 524 to 776 of the family's 1533-position model. The record is from RNAcentral. RNAcentral also lists the same sequence under 1 other name.
UACGUAGGGUGCAAGCGUUGUCCGGAAUUAUUGGGCGUAAAGAGCUCGUAGGUGGCCUGUCGCGUCGGCUGUGAAAACUCGGGGCUCAACUCCGAGCUUGCAGUCGAUACGGGCAGGCUAGAGUUCGGCAGGGGAGACUGGAAUUCCUGGUGUAGCGGUGAAAUGCGCAGAUAUCAGGAGGAACACCGGUGGCGAAGGCGGGUCUCUGGGCCGAUACUGACACUGAGGAGCGAAAGCGUGGGGAGCGAACAGG